ACAUGCAAGUCGAACGGUGAAGCCCAGCUUGCUGGGUGGAUCAGUGGCGAACGGGUGAGUAACACGUGAGCAACCUGCCCCUGACUCUGGGAUAAGCGCUGGAAACGGCGUCUAAUACUGGAUACGAGACGUGAUCGCAUGGUCAACGUUUGGAAAGAUUUUUCGGUUGGGGAUGGGCUCGCGGCCUAUCAGCUUGUUGGUGAGGUAAUGGCUCACCAAGGCGUCGACGGGUAGCCGGCCUGAGAGGGUGACCGGCCACACUGGGACUGAGACACGGCCCAGACUCCUACGGGAGGCAGCAGUGGGGAAUAUUGCACAAUGGGCGCAAGCCUGAUGCAGCAACGCCGCGUGAGGGAUGACGGCCUUCGGGUUGUAAACCUCUUUUAGCAGGGAAGAAGCGAGAGUGACGGUACCUGCAGAAAAAGCACCGGCUAACUACGUGCCAGCAGCCGCGGUAAUACGUAGGGUGCAAGCGUUAUCCGGAAUUAUUGGGCGUAAAGAGCUCGUAGGCGGUUUGUCGCGUCUGCUGUGAAAUCUGGGGGCUCAACCCCCAGCCUGCAGUGGGUACGGGCAGACUAGAGUGCGGUAGGGGAGAUUGGAAUUCCUGGUGUAGCGGUGGAAUGCGCAGAUAUCAGGAGGAACACCGAUGGCGAAGGCAGAUCUCUGGGCCGUAACUGACGCUGAGGAGCGAAAGGGUGGGGAGCAAACAGGCUUAGAUACCCUGGUAGUCCACCCCGUAAACGUUGGGAACUAGUUGUGGGGUCCAUUCCACGGAUUCCGUGACGCAGCUAACGCAUUAAGUUCCCCGCCUGGGGAGUACGGCCGCAAGGCUAAAACUCAAAGGAAUUGACGGGGACCCGCACAAGCGGCGGAGCAUGCGGAUUAAUUCGAUGCAACGCGAAGAACCUUACCAAGGCUUGACAUAUACGAGAACGGGCCAGAGAUGGUCAACUCUUUGGACACUCGUAAACAGGUGGUGCAUGGUUGUCGUCAGCUCGUGUCGUGAGAUGUUGGGUUAAGUCCCGCAACGAGCGCAACCCUCGUUCUAUGUUGCCAGCACGUAAUGGUGGGAACUCAUGGGAUACUGCCGGGGUCAACUCGGAGGAAGGUGGGGAUGACGUCAAAUCAUCAUGCCCCUUWUGUCUUGGGCUUCASCMUGCUACAAUGGCCGGUACAAUGGGCUGCAAUACCGKGAGUGGG
Molecule: ribosomal RNA, 1200 nt
Filed under: Microbacterium sp.
Lineage: Bacteria; Bacillati; Actinomycetota; Actinomycetes; Micrococcales; Microbacteriaceae
Description: bacterial SSU rRNA
Source: RNAcentral